Molecule: small RNA, 131 nt
Filed under: Escherichia coli
Lineage: Bacteria; Pseudomonadati; Pseudomonadota; Gammaproteobacteria; Enterobacterales; Enterobacteriaceae
Description: RtT sRNA
Rfam family: RtT RNA
About the family: This family represents a bacterial cis-regulatory element known as RtT RNA. The exact function of RtT is unknown although it is thought that it may be involved in changing the cellular response in relation to amino acid starvation.
Source: RNAcentral
AUUCUGCCCAAGCGGAGAAGGAUGAGAAGCUUCGACUAAGGUUCGACUCGAGCGCCAGCGAGAGAGCGUUGCCGCAGGCACGACCUGAAGGGCGAAGCGCGCAGCGCUGAGUAAUCCUUCCCCCACCACCA